GGGGAAUAUUGCACAAUGGGCGCAAGCCUGAUGCAGCGACGCCGCGUGGGGGAUGAAGGCCUUCGGGUUGUAAACCCCUUUCAGCAGGGAAGAAGCGAAAGUGACGGUACCUGCAGAAGAAGCGCCGGCUAACUACGUGCCAGCAGCCGCGGUAAUACGUAGGGCGCAAGCGUUGUCCGGAAUUAUUGGGCGUAAAGAGCUCGUAGGCGGUUUGUCGCGUCUGCUGUGAAAACCCGAGGCUCAACCUCGGGCCUGCAGUGGGUACGGGCAGACUAGAGUGCGGUAGGGGAGACUGGAAUUCCUGGUGUAGCGGUGGAAUGCGCAGAUAUCAGGAGGAACACCGAUGGCGAAGGCAGGUCUCUGGGCCGCAACUGACGCUGAGGAGCGAAAGCAUGGGGAGCGAAC
Molecule: ribosomal RNA, 405 nt
Filed under: uncultured bacterium
Lineage: Bacteria
Description: bacterial SSU rRNA
Rfam family: Bacterial small subunit ribosomal RNA
Source: RNAcentral